CGCUAGCGGCAUGCCUAACACAUGCAAGUCGAGGGGUAAGGUUCAGCUUGCUGAAUACACGACCGGCGCACGGGUGAGUAACACGUUUGCAAUCUUCCUCUAACUGGAGAAUAGCCCGAAGAAAUUCGGAUUAAUACUCCAUAAAGUCAAUUUAAGGCAUCUUUUAUUGAUUAAAGCUCCGGCGGUUAGAGAUGGGCAUGCGUGUCAUUAGCUAGUUGGUGAGGUAACGGCUCACCAAGGCCACGAUGACUAGGGGGUCUGAGAGGAUGAUCCCCCACACUGGUACUGAGACACUGACCAGACUCCUACGGGAGGCAGCAGUGAGGAAUAUUGGGCAAUGGACGCAAGUCUGACCCAGCCAUGCCGCGUGCAGGAUGACUGCCCUAUGGGUUGUAAACUGCUUUUGUUUGGGAAGAAACCCCCGAUCGUGAUCGGGGCUGACGGUACCAUACGAAUAAGCAUCGGCUAACUCCGUGCCAGCAGCCGCGGUAAUACGGAGGAUGCAAGCGUUAUCCGGAUUCAUUGGGUUUAAAGGGUGCGCAGGCGGAAUAUUAAGUCAGUGGUGAAAUCCUGCAGCUUAACUGUAGAACUGCCAUUGAUACUGAUAUUCUUGAAUAUAGUUGAGGUGGGCGGAAUGUGUAAUGUAGCGGUGAAAUGCUUAGAUAUUACACAGAACACCAAUUGCGAAGGCAGCUCACUAAACUAAUAUUGACGCUGAGGCACGAAAGCGUGGGUAGCAAACAGGAUUAGAUACCCUGGUAGUCCACGCUGUAAACUAUGAUCACUCGCUGUUGGCGAUACAUCGUCAGCGGCUGAGCGAAAGCAUUAAGUGAUCCACCUGGGGAGUACGGUCGCAAGAUUGAAACUCUAAGGAAUUGACGGGGGCACGCACAAGCGGAGGAACAUGUGGU
RNAcentral lists this ribosomal RNA (911 nucleotides) under uncultured organism. RNAcentral describes it as "bacterial SSU rRNA". It matches the Rfam family "Bacterial small subunit ribosomal RNA", at positions 34 to 945 of the family's 1533-position model. The record is from RNAcentral.